UUCACCAUUCUUAUUUCUUUCACUAUCUAGGGUUUCUUUUUUUCACAAAUAAUACGCCGUCGCAGUCUCGCCUAUCAAUCUCCCAUAUUCGAUCUCACCCUUCUUCCACCUUCCAUCUCUGGUCAACGAAGGCUUUCUGUCCGACGAUACUUGGCUAAUCUUUGGUUUUUGAGUUUCGAAUCUUCAUCUGGAUACUUUCAAUUUCUGCUUCAUAAGGUUUGAAAGGUGGAAUUGCAGGUUUAAAAGGGAUGGAUGUUUACAAGCGCUUAUGGAUGUUUAUCGUUUUUAUUGAUUAAUUGUCGAACUACUUUUGGAUUUUAUGUCUUGUUUUAAAUAUGGUUGA
Molecule: long non-coding RNA, 343 nt
Filed under: Helianthus annuus (common sunflower)
Lineage: Eukaryota; Viridiplantae; Streptophyta; Magnoliopsida; Asterales; Asteraceae
Description: sRNA HanXRQr2_Chr15g0677661
Source: RNAcentral